CAGUGAACCGGAGAAGAAAGUCUGAAAGCCUGAAACAGAAGCUCAGUCGCCCUUUUGUUUAUCCACCUAAUGACUUGAGUUUCAGUGGAGGACAAGUGCAGAGAAGAAGCAGCUGUACAUGUGAUCAACUAUCCAUUGUAACACUGACAGGCCCCGCUGAGGGAAAUGCAUAGGCGUGAGAGAGGGCUGCUGCAUGCCGACCUCUAGAACCAGGCCAGAGAACGAGCCCUGUGGGAACUGACUUGUGGAUGCUGGCUGCGUAAUGACUGCUCUGCAUUGAUGAAUGAAGGGGUAGCGCGGCCAGCCCGAGUGAAUAGCAUCUUGGGGGAACUGAGGUGAGGCACACAGGGGUGUUAGUGUGAGAGUGAGUGUGAGGUGGUGUUUGAAAUCACAAAAUCUAGCCUAUCCCGGCAUGAAGACACAUUGUUAUUUUUUUUAUGUCACGCGAUAAGGGACACACCUUGGAUCUCAAGUGUUAUCAUUACUGAUCGGAACUGUUUAUACCCAAACACCAGUAUACAGUUGUGCCAGCUUGAGUCAAAAAUGACCAUCAACAAACAAGUCCAGAGUCUAUGUGCACACACACACACACACACACACACA
Solea solea (common sole) is the source of this 603-nucleotide long non-coding RNA. RefSeq lists it as uncharacterized. NCBI's taxonomy places the organism in Eukaryota, Metazoa, Chordata, Actinopteri, Pleuronectiformes, Soleidae. The transcript is spliced from 4 exons. The record is from RefSeq and is a predicted model, not a curated record.